RNAcentral lists this long non-coding RNA (4029 nucleotides) under Zea mays. RNAcentral describes it as "long non-coding RNA (ZMAY_LNC001563)". The record is from RNAcentral. Lineage: Eukaryota; Viridiplantae; Streptophyta; Magnoliopsida; Poales; Poaceae.
GCUGCUUUGGCUAGUCAGGAUAAGUUGCUUAGGCAGGCUGCUCAUGAGAGGAGAGAGUUUAGAUCCAAGUACGAGAGCAUGCUUAGGGAACUUGAGGCUGCUAGAGCUUCAGUUGAGGUGUCCGACAAGACUGAAUGUGAUGAGUGCGUUCUACACAUGUCGAACAUCACCACUUUGCAGACCAAGUGCUCCACCUUGCUAGAUGAGCGCGACGAGUUGAGAUCUAGUUUUAUCCUGUUGGGUGCGUGUACUGUUUGUCCUGGCUUGCAGUCUGAGCUAGCAGAGAGAGAUGCUAGGAUAGCUUUGCUUGAGAAGGCUAGCUUAGUGAGCGCCCCUGCACCUGUGCAAUGUGCACUUUGUGAGGGUUUGCAAUCUGCCCUUGAGUCCUACAGACACGACAAGACAAGAAUCAAGGAAGAAAACACAUACCUUCGAUCUAUCUUGAGUUAGGUGUCAUGCAGUGAGCCCUAGUUGGGCAUGGUGGUCAGUCAGUUCAAGAGGGGAACUGGCAGACCGAGGUUAGGCUUUGCUACUAAGGAUGGGAGUUGUGGCAGAACCUCCCAAGUUAUUGGGCCCACAUGCCCCUGCCCUUGUCUCAAAGACCUCAGACGGCUAUGCAUGUGCACCGGGUAACUUAACAGGAUCCGUUCGAGUGUCCCAAGGACCCGGAUAAACCACUCACAACCAGGAUCACAAGAUUAAGUAAACACAAAUCACACACCAACAUUUUUGCAGCGGAAUUUCUUUAUUACAAAAGUUACAAGUUACAACAAAUUUACAUUAUGUUUAUCGAAGUGAUUACAAAAGUGAUUCAAAGAAAUAAACUUUGAAAUGUUAUAAAUUAUUUAUAAUUUUGAAAUAUAUGCUAGCUCAAUGAUAAUCCUCAAUAAGAAGUAUAGGAGAGGUACUUAGGCUUAUAAGAAGGUCGUGCCCACCGGUGCUUAACACCAUCCAUAGCAACACAAAUCUAGUACCUGCAACAACAUGGGUUCAAAAACCCUGAGUACGAAGUGUACUUUUGCAAGUCUUACCCGACUAAGGAAAAAUGACUCUCAAGGAUAUGCUGGUUAAAUAGGAAUCAAGGAAAAGGCUUUAGCAAGAAUCAACUUAGAUACUUUUGCAGAAAUAGCUUACUAAAGUGAGUCCUAACUUUCAAUAUUAUAAUGCCAGAUUAAAUAUUAAUAGACUCUAGUUGCAUCUAGUCUAAUUUCACCAUCUCAUCAAUACAACAUCAUUUUUAUUAAUAAUGUUUACAUGCUAACCUAGGUUGCAGGUCAGAGAUCAAGUCUCCACUGUCCGGGGAUAUAACAGCGAUCCGAAUUGAUUUACUCAGCUGAGGACCUCUAACCACACGACAUAUGUUUCUCGUAACUCUUGCAUAUGUAUACCAUUCCCAUGGAUCCUCCACUGCAUGAAUAGGUCCACGCCACCCGAGAGCACACCACCCCUUUUAGGUGGUCCUUUGCUAGGAGGGUACGUGCCACUCUCGCCAUCUCUCCACUCCCAAUGCGCGAUUGUCUUUUCAUGUAUGGAAUAGCCGGGUUCAAGCUUACCCUGUCCCAUAUCUAGGGCAUGUGGCCAGUUAAGAUAGUCCUUGAUCAUAUAGGCCUACAUACGCAUUCAAUCCUUAAUUAACCUGGGUGGAGCAUCACCUGUUCCUAGCCCAAGUCUCGAGUUAAGUACUUCCACCAUUAGGAUUGUUUUGUGUUCCUAAGGAUGAAAAGAGCAUUAUAGGGAACUUUGCAGUAAGAUCCCACCAUGCUCCCAAUGAAAAUAUUCUUGUAGGCAGAAACCAUCCUUUCACAGGAUAACCCCUGAGCUAGGCAUUAUUGCAAAAGACAACCUCUAUCUACAAGAUCUAAGCAGGGCUAAGCAUUUUUGUAAACAAUAUUUGAUACUUCCAAAGAAGUACCUAUAAUAGGAAUGGAUAUCAAGGUAGUCAAUGCAUCAAAUAGUUUUCAAGCAAUUCCUAAAACUUAAUGCACAUUUCAUUAGACUUAAGUGUAUAAAAGUCUUUUUAAAAAUACAAGGAAGGGGUAAAUGCACCGGGGCUUGCCUAGAAUAAACACUACGUCAGUGUUGUUAGAUGAUACUCGCUUGGCGAGCACCUCCCAUCCUGGCACUUGGUUGAUUUAUCAUCUUUAGCUUCGUCCAUUAGCAUCAUCUUGUGAUCAACCCAUCUCUUAUUCUCCACAUCACGUGAUUAAUUAACGUACCUAGAUGAUGAUAUGCAAUAAUGCAUAUAAGGACAUGAAUAGCAAAUAAUAAAUAACCUAUACUAAAGAGGGGAAACAUUUCAAGCAAGACAUCACAAACAUUCAUAACCAAGCAUUUGAUAGAGAUAUACAACCAAGCAUAAUGAUCUCGUUCUCUAACUUACACGAAUUAAAUCCAAACAGUAAGAAUUAUAAAACUAGAUAUAGUUCCUAUAUUUCUUUAGUUGAACAUAACACCAAAAUAUUCAUAAAGCAUAGGGUCAUUAUUUAUACACUUCAAAUUUAGAACAAGAAUACAAAUAAGCUACUAACCUUCUAAACCACUUUGCUAGAAGACUUGAAUUACACACCACUAAAUAAGAUAUCUCAAUAACACAAGAUAUUACGAUGCUAUGCAAUAGAGAAUUAAUUACUUAAUGGCGAAGCACAAUACAACACUUCAUAUGCAACAAGUUGUCAUCAAUUAAGGAUCAAGAAUGGACUAAUCCUACCUAGUCCAAGCAAGAGUAACUUCAGAAAUCCACUUAAUGCUUGCUGAUUUUGGACAGCAGUAUAUCAGUCAGUUUUUUAUUCAUAACUCACACGAUUUUCAUCCAAAAAUAGUAAACUACGACUUUUUGGAAAGCUUAUAAAGUCCUCUAUAACUUUUGUAUUACCAUCACAACCAGAUUCGACCUUUAGAAAGGUCAAACAGAACUAAACAUAAAUUUUAUCCAGAUUUAGAUAGAAUUCGACUACUCACUUCAAAAAUCCAUAACUGGGGUUUCAUGCACCCAAAUCAGGUGAUCCUAGACUUUUUAGAAAGCUAAUAGAAUUGUCUACAGUUCAAUUAUAAACAUCCCAGGUUAAUUCAAUGUGUAUCGAAGUCAGUUAAUACAAACAAACAUUGCUGUCCAGAUUUUUGACAGAUUCAAACAUCACAUUUCAAACAGCCAUAACUUGACUUCUAGACCACUAAAAAGGGUGCUCCAAAAUUUGUUGGAAAGCAUAAGAAAAGUAAUACAAUUCUUCUAUAAUUACUAAGAGCUGAUUCUAAGUUUAACUUGGACAAACAAGGUUAUUUUCGAAAUCAGUACAGAAUCUGGACAGAUUUCAAGACUGGAGUUGAGAAAAUAAUAACUCCCAAACUAUUAGACCUAUGAUCAUGAAAUUUUUACACAAGCAAUAUAUAAAAAUGAUCUGCAACUUUUAUAUAUAACAUCUUUACAGAAAAUGUAGUUUGCUUCACUAGAUUAGUUCCACACUCUAAACUGUAUGCACAGUUCAAACAGCAAACAUCGAUUUGCCCAUUUCAUCAAACACCUAGGAAGCGUCGCACAAGAACCUCGCCCGCUUCUCUAACCACGGCUCCAAUCUUACAUAUAUAUACACAUAUAUUACACCCACUCAUGCUUACAUGCACCAUGCAAUCAACAGUAAGAAAUAAGCUCACCUGUAGAAAAUGGGGAGGACGCCGGCCAUGCGGGAUGACUGAAAAUUAGAGCGCCAGUAGAGAUGGGGCUUGCUGCAGGAAGGAGAGCAAUGGCGUGCAGAGGGCGAGUGCCAGGGCUGGCAGUAUCCAUGGUUGAGGGGCGAGCUGGGGAUGGAGGGCAGAGGAGAUGGGGUUGCUGACUUGCUGCAAGAGGGGGAGGGCGUCCAUGGGAGAGAGCAUCGGCUGGACACCACACAGGGAGGGAGGGAGAUGGAGGAGAGGCAGCCAUGGGAGGGAUCGGCUGGGAGAUGACGUCCAGCGAGAGAGAGCGACGCGUGGGAGAGCAGGGAGUGCUGCGUGAGGGAGCUGAGGUGCUGUGUAUAGGGGAUAAGGUUGAGGGAG